GAUGAACGCUGGCGGCGUGCCUAAUACAUGCAAGUCGAGCGAACGGACGAGAAGCUUGCUUCUCUGAUGUUAGCGGCGGACGGGUGAGUAACACGUGGAUAACCUACCUAUAAGACUGGGAUAACUUCGGGAAACCGUAGCUAAUACCGGAUAAUAUUUUGAACCGCAUGGUUCAAAAGUGAAAGACGGUCUUGCUGUCACUUAUAGAUGGAUCCGCGCUGCAUUAGCUAGUUGGUAAGGUAACGGCUUACCAAGGCAACGAUGCAUAGCCGACCUGAGAGGGUGAUCGGCCACACGGGAACUGAGACACGGUCCAGACUCCUACGGGAGGCAGCAGUAGGGAAUCUUCCGCAAUGGGCGAAAGCCUGACGGAGCAACGCCGCGUGAGUGAUGAAGGUCUUCGGAACGUAAAACUCUGUUAUUAGGGAAGAACAUAUGUGUAAGUAACUGUGCACAUCUUGACGGUACCUAAUCAGAAAGCCACGGCUAACUACGUG
This 497-nucleotide ribosomal RNA is filed under the name uncultured bacterium. Its description in RNAcentral is "partial 16S ribosomal RNA". It matches the Rfam family "Bacterial small subunit ribosomal RNA", at positions 28 to 507 of the family's 1533-position model. The record is from RNAcentral.